This 52-nucleotide microRNA precursor is filed under the name Ciona intestinalis (vase tunicate). Its description in RNAcentral is "microRNA cin-mir-4001a precursor (cin-mir-4001a-1)". Lineage: Eukaryota; Metazoa; Chordata; Ascidiacea; Phlebobranchia; Cionidae. The record is from miRBase by way of RNAcentral.
UGGAACUUAUACGAACAGGCUGCUUUGUACUCGGUCACUUCGCUUAAGUUUA